CUCAGAGGCUGGAAGCCCGCGGCCCCCUGAGCUCCGGAUGCUGGGUGAACGAGGUCCUGGGCCAGGGCAGCUCUGUUUACCUCUUCCCUCCUUGACUGGCCCGAGAACUGAAAUCUGUCCCAGUCGGGGUUCUAGGUCUCCCAGGCCCGGCCCACCGACCUUCCCUCCAACACCACCCGGGCCCUCUGAGUCCUGGGGCCUCAAGGCUCAACUCCUGGAGCCCAGCGCAAGAGCCACGCAGAAAUGCGCCCAGGGGCCACAGUCAGGACCUCGAGCCAUUCACUCAUCCUCAAAUCUUCUUGGCGGUGGAAGCUGUCUUGCAGGGCAGGGCUGGAGUGGCCUCUCAGAAGCUGUGUGCAUGCUCUCCUGGCGGGUUUCCUCCCUGGAGAAUCGAGUCAGGUUGAAUGAUCACCAAAGCUCUGUGGCAGAAAUUGAAUAAUGCCUACUAGUCUGGGGACAACUGUGUCACCUCCUCCCUGGCCCCAGACAAGAAUGGAUGUUGAAAAGGAGAACCUGGGCCUAGGCCUGGCAUACAGGGCAUGACCAAUGAGGCGGAAGUGUGCAGGGCUGCUGGGGUGUCACCUCAUGGAAGCUUCUGGGAGAUCUUCAGAGGUAAAAUUCCUGUUAGUCUUGGUCAUAUGACCUGUCCUGAAGCAUAGUGGGUAAGAGGGUGGCGCUGUAAGCCUCAGGACCCCAGCGAAGGCCUAGAGUUUCUUUGAGCUCUAUAGACAGAAUCCGAUUCUAAAUCCCCCCAGUGCAGGGCAAGGCCCCCACAGGUCCCAACAGGGCCUGGCACUCAGUUGGUCCUCACUGAAUAGUCUUAGCGUUGCACAGUGGAGAAGGACCUACACUCCCUGGAGAAACCAGAAUCGGGUUCUUUUAAGGGCAGAAGCCAGGAUCAGAGAGGAAUUCACUGAAGGGAAGGUUGCCUGUGAAGCAGAGGCACCAGCCUCACUGUCUGUCCCUUCCCUUCCUCUUCCUCAGAGCCUGGUCCCUCCCUGUGCCCUGCAGGGGUCAGCUGGAAGGCUCAGGAUUCUCGCUGUUCCAGAGUCACAGCCAGGAGCCACAGGGAGAACAGUGCUGGGGCCUCUUGGGAGUUGGGCCAGGGGCUCCCCAUCACUCAGCUCUUCAGACCAAUGCUGCUAUGAGGACACAAGGGUAACAGUGGCUCGGUCAGGAUGCCCACAUUUUUGGUUUCACCCACCAGCUUCUCCUACUCAUUCGCCUCUUUCUGUUUGCCUUCAUCGAGGUGGAAUUUCUAUAAAAUUAACCAUAAAAUUAACCAUUUUAUUAUUUUUUUUAAGAUUUUGUUUAUUUAUUUGCGAGAGAGUGUGUGCAUGAGCUGGGGGAGGAGGAGAGGGCAAGAGACCAGCAGACUGACCCCUGAGCAGGGAGCCUGAUGCGGGCCUUGAUCCCAGAACCCCAAGAUCAUGACCUGAGCUGAAGUCAGACACUAAACAACCAACAGAGCCAGCCAGGCGCCUCAAAAAUAACCAUUUUUAAAGUGAACAACUCAGUGGCAUUCACAGUGUGGCACAACCCCCACCCCCAUCUAGCUCCAGAAAUUUUUGUCACUCUGACGUAAAAUGCUUGACUCCAUCAAGGAGUCACUGGCCUCUCUGCCCCAUCCUACCCCAAGCAACCACAGGUCUGCCUUUUGUCUCUAUAGAUUGACCUAUUCUGGAUAUUUCGUAUAAAUGGAAUCACACACUUUGUGACCUUUUUUAUCUGGUUUCUUCCACUUAGCACGUUUCGGGGUUCAUCCAUGCUAUGGCACACGUCAGUAUUUCAUCCCGUCUUCAGGCUGAGUGAUACCCCUCUGUGUGUAUGGACCACAUUUUGUGUAUCUAUUCCUCUGUUCACAGUUUCACUUAGUUCUGAGUAACACCUCAGGUCCUUGCUGCAAGGUCUCAUGGUGCAAAGAGGUGUGGGCUAGGAGUUUCGUAAGCUCGGUCUCUGAGCAGGCUGGGUGUUCUAAGGCAAGUGGAUUGACCUUUCUGGGCCCCAGUCUACUCAUCUAUAAAGUGAAAAGUUUGGCAAGGACCAUUUCACGUUACAAUCCUCUGUGACUUUUUGCAACUGUGAAGUGCUCCCUGGCACUCAUAGAAAGGAUCCCAAUGCCUUUUCUGCCAGCCACAAUCCUGUGUCAAGGACCCCAUUACAACAGGCCCUGAGGUUUGCACUGUGCCCCCCCGUGGAUUGGGCCCCCUUUCCAUCUGUACCUUUGGAUCUUAAAGAGGCCAAAUCUUUUUUUUUUUUUAGAACACUAUUCUUUUUUUUUUUAAGAUUUUAUUUAUAUAUUCAUAAGAGACACAGAGAGAGAGGCAGAGAUCACAGGAUCACACCCUGAGCCAAAGGCAGAUGCUCAACCACUGAGCCACCCAAGCGUCCCAAGAGGCCAAAUCUUCGUGAGAAGCAUAGCUGCGGUGGGUUGUGUCUUGUGAGUUAUUCCCUUCUUGACUGAGUAUCCAGCCAGACUCUCAGCAAUUGUGAUUUAGAGAUGAAAUGGCCAACUUGGAGCACACGGAGGUUUUCAUCAUACCUGCUUAGGAAGUGGACACCAAGCUAAGUGAAAAGGAUUCAACAUCAGGGAAGUAUACGAUUUGAUAUCCCAACUGACUUUUAUUCCAUGUACAUUCACGGUCCUGUUACCCCAUCUCCUGCUUUGGGCAGGUUGGAAACAUACAGAGAAACAGAUUUAAGAAAUAUCCCCUUUCUUAGCAUCUAAGAGCUUUGAGACCUACCCCGAUUGUUGGGGAGUAGUCAGCUGCUCCUCUCCCAGUGAAUUGAGCUUGGAGGUGGAGGCACUUUAAUGUGGGGAAGGUAUCAUUAUCUCAAGGAUGUUUUACAUUUAUUUUCGGAAUAUGGAAGCUCACUGGGGCCCCUGGGUGGCUCAGUGGUUGAGUGUCUGCCUUCGGCUCAGGUCAUGAUCCUGGGGUCUGGGGAUCGAGUCCCGCAUCGGGCUCCCCACAGGGAGCCUGCUUCUCCCUCUGCCUGUGUCUCUGCCUCUCUCUGUCUCUCAUGAAUAAAUAAAUGGAAUAUGGAAGCUCAGUAAAUUGAAAUAAUGGUUUUACCUUCUUCCUUUUUAAUACUCGAACCGUACCCUGGCAUUUCCAAUCCCCUUACUCUGCUCACUUGCCUUUCCCCCAUACGAUAAUUUUUAUUUACUAAAUUCAUUGUUUAUUGUCUGUCUUUGUCUGUGGAAUAGAAGCUCCACGAGGCAGAGAUCUUUGCUCAUGCUGAUGCCUGAUGUAGAACUCUGCCCAGCACAAAGUAAGUACUCAGUAAAUAUUUGUUGGAAUGGAAUGGAUGCACACAGAUGAUGUUUUGCCGCCAAACCAUUUCCUAACUAGAAGGGAAGAGACAUGAAGCGUCACUGGGAUUCCCACAGAAGAAAACACCAGCAGAAUCUGAUCCUGUCAAGGUGCAUUGUUGGACUCUAUUUGCCUUCCCCAAAAUGCUGUUCUAAAAACAGCCAAGUCUUGGAGGUUGGUCUUCUAUUGGUCCUCGGGUGGGCAUCAAAAAAGGGAUUUUCUGAAAUAAUUCAUCAGUUAGGAUUAACAAACGUACUAAAACUGUAACAUUCUCUACUGCUUCCUUGAGUUCUUUGGGCUAGUUCUGAGCAGAGCUAGGGUCCAGAUCUUGAGGCUUAAGGCCAACUCUUAAAUUAAAUAGAUACAGGGACACCUGGGUGGCUCAGUGGUUGAGCAUCUGCCUUCGGCUCAGGGCCUGAUCCAGUCCCGCAUUGGGAUCCCCACAGGGAGCCUGCCUCUCCCUCUGCUUAUGUCUCUGCCUCUCUCUGUGUCUCUCAUGAAUAAAUAAAAUUUUUUAAAAAACUUUAAAAAUUGUUUAAAAAAUUAAACAGAUUCAUAGUUGGACAAUUUGUUCUAAUCCUUUGGGAAGCAAACCCCUUGGGUUAAAAAAAAAAAAAAAAGGCCAAUACUCCAAUUGCUGAGUCAUUCCAAUGGGAGCAUAUCUAGAAGAGGAAAAGUAUUUCCUGGCAAAUUUGCAGCUCCCACAAACCAUCCCCAUCACUGUCACAAGAAAAUGUUGGAGCUGGGGGGAGGGUGGCUGCAACUUUUCAAAUCAGACAGCCAGCAUAAACCUUAACAUUAAAUAUCCUAAGGAAAAAAAAAAAAACCCUCAGUGGUUGUAUUUAUCCCGAAUGCAAAAGUGUCCCCUUUGUUGAGGUCUGAGCCAAGAGAAC
This 4207-nucleotide long non-coding RNA is filed under the name Canis lupus familiaris (dog). RNAcentral describes it as "lncRNA (ENSCAFG00030009244.1)". The record is from RNAcentral. Lineage: Eukaryota; Metazoa; Chordata; Mammalia; Carnivora; Canidae.